AAGAAAAAAAAAAGAAAACAGAAAAAAUGAAAAUUAGAAAAAAGGAUGGGGCAGUUGAUUAAGAUGCAGAGAGACAUUUUUAUGAAAUUUCAAAAUGCAAAAAAUAUCCUCUCAUCACACGACAUGUGUCAAAGGGAGUUUAAAAAGUAAAACAAAAUAUCUCUUUACCAACCCUCUCAGCGUGUAUUAAAGAAGAAAAAAAUACAAUUUCCUUUUUCUCCAAACGAUUCUUUCUCGAGGUGCAUAAAAACAAAACCCCAUUUUUUAAAAAAAAACUAAAAACUCCUACCCUCUAUUCUUUCUCUUGUUCA
This 311-nucleotide long non-coding RNA is filed under the name Lathyrus oleraceus (garden pea). RNAcentral's name for it is "Pisum sativum (pea) long non-coding RNA (PSAT_LNC004622)". The record is from RNAcentral. Lineage: Eukaryota; Viridiplantae; Streptophyta; Magnoliopsida; Fabales; Fabaceae.